UACGUAGGGGGCAAGCGUUGUCCGGAUUUAUUGGGCGUAAAGAGCGUGUAGGCGGCCGUACAGGUCAGCUGUGAAAACUCGAGGCUCAACCUCGAGACGUCGGUUGAAACCGUACGGCUAGAGUCCGGAAGAGGAGAGUGGAAUUCCCGGUGUAGCGGUGAAAUGCGCAGAUAUCGGGAAGAACACCCGUGGCGAAGGCGGCUCACUGGACCACAACUGACGCUGAGGCGCGAAAGCUAGGGGAGCAAACAGG
This 253-nucleotide ribosomal RNA is filed under the name uncultured bacterium. RNAcentral's name for it is "partial 16S ribosomal RNA". It matches the Rfam family "Bacterial small subunit ribosomal RNA", at positions 524 to 776 of the family's 1533-position model. The record is from RNAcentral.